GAUGAAGAACGCAGCGAAAUGCGAUAAGUAGUGUGAAUUGCAGAAUUCAGUGAAUCAUCGAAUCUUUGAACGCACAUUGCGCCCCCUGGCAUUCCGGGGGGCAUGCCUGUCCGAGCGUCAUUUCUGCCCUCCAGCGCGGCUGGGUGUUGGGCGCUGUCCCCCCGGGGACACGCCCCAAAGGCAGUGGCGGCGCCGCGUCGGGUCCUCGAGCGUAUGGGGCUUUGUCACCCGCUCGGGACGGACUCGUCGGCGCUGGUCUUCCUCCAGGCGACCCUUCGGGGCUCGUCUUCCUUCGGUUGACCUCGGAUCAGGUAGGGUUACCCGCUGAACUUAAGCAUAUCAAUAAGCGGAGGA
This 354-nucleotide unclassified non-coding RNA is filed under the name soil metagenome. RNAcentral's name for it is "partial contains 5.8S ribosomal RNA, internal transcribed spacer 2, and large subunit ribosomal RNA". The stretch from base 1 to 120 matches the Rfam family "5.8S ribosomal RNA", at positions 35 to 154 of the family's 154-position model. The record is from RNAcentral.